GACGAACGCUGGCGGCGUGCUUAACACAUGCAAGUCGAGCGAGAAUCUACUGAAAGAGUUUUCGGACAAUGGAUGUAGAGGAAAGUGGCGGACGGGUGAGUAAUGCGUGAGGAACCUGCCUUGAAGAGGGGGACAACAGUUGGAAACGACUGCUAAUACCGCAUGAAGCAUAGGGGUCGCAUGAUUCUUAUGCCAAAGAUUUAUCGCUUCAAGAUGGCCUCGCGUCUGAUUAGCUAGUUGGCGGGGUAACGGCCCACCAAGGCGACGAUCAGUAGCCGGACUGAGAGGUUGAACGGCCACAUUGGGACUGAGAUACGGCCCAGACUCCUACGGGAGGCAGCAGUGGGGAAUAUUGGGCAAUGGGCGCAAGCCUGACCCAGCAACGCCGCGUGAAGGAAGAAGGCUUUCGGGUUGUAAACUUCUUUUAAGAGGGAAGAGCAGAAGGCGGUACCUCUAGAAUAAGCCACGGCUAACUACGUGCCAGCAGCCGCGGUAA
RNAcentral lists this ribosomal RNA (496 nucleotides) under uncultured bacterium. Its description in RNAcentral is "partial 16S ribosomal RNA". It matches the Rfam family "Bacterial small subunit ribosomal RNA", at positions 28 to 523 of the family's 1533-position model. The record is from RNAcentral.